UGCAGAAUCCCGUGAACCAUCGAGUCUUUGAACGCAAGUUGCGCCUCAAGCCAUUAGGUUGAGGGCACGUCUGCCUGGGCGUCACAU
Molecule: ribosomal RNA, 87 nt
Filed under: Tibetia forrestii
Lineage: Eukaryota; Viridiplantae; Streptophyta; Magnoliopsida; Fabales; Fabaceae
Description: Gueldenstaedtia forrestii partial 5.8S ribosomal RNA
Rfam family: 5.8S ribosomal RNA
About the family: 5.8S ribosomal RNA (5.8S rRNA) is a component of the large subunit of the eukaryotic ribosome. It is transcribed by RNA polymerase I as part of the 45S precursor that also contains 18S and 28S rRNA. Functionally, it is thought that 5.8S rRNA may be involved in ribosome translocation.
Source: RNAcentral